CCGACACGGUGCGCGAGAUGAGUAUUCUAAGGCGCUUGAGAGAACUCAGGAGAAGGAACUCGGCAAAUUGACACCGUAACUUCGGAAGAAGGUGUGCCCUAUUAGUGUGUAGUGAACAACGAAGCAUGAAUGGGUUGCAAAAAAUCGGUGGCUGCGACUGUUUAUUAAAAACACAGCACUCUGCAAACACGAAAGUGGACGUAUAGGGUGUGACGCCUGCCCGGUGCUGGAAGAUUAAAUGAUGGGGUGCAAGCUCUUGAUUGAAGUCCCAGUAAACGGCGGCCGUAACGAUAACGGUCCUAAGGUAGCGAAAUUCCUUGUCGGGUAAGUUCCGACCUGCACGAAUGGCGUAACGAUGGCCACACUGUCUCCUCCUGAGACUCAGCGAAGUUGAAAUGUUUGUGAUGAUGCAAUCUCCCCGCGGAAAGACGGAAAGACCCCAUGAACCUUUACUGUAGCUUUGUAUUGGACUUUGAACAGAUCUGUGUAGGAUAGGUGGGAGGCUUUGAAGCAGGGUCGCUAGAUCUUGUGGAGCCAACGUUGAAAUACCACCCUGGUGUGUUUGAGGUUCUAACCUAGGUCCAUUAUCUGGAUCGGGGACAGUGCAUGGUAGGCAGUUUGACUGGGGCGGUCUCCUCCCAAAGCGUAACGGAGGAGUUCGAAGGUACGCUAGUUACGGUCGGACAUCGUGACGAUAGUGCAAUGGCAUAAGCGUGCUUAACUGCGAGACUGACAAGUCGAGCAGAUGCGAAAGCAGGACAUAGUGAUCCGGUGGUUCUGUAUGGAAGGGCCAUCGCUCAACGGAUAAAAGGUACUCUGGGGAUAACAGGCUGAUACCGCCCAAGAGUUCAUAUCGACGGCGGUGUUUGGCACCUCGAUGUCGGCUCAUCUCAUCCUGGGGCUGUAGCCGGUCCCAAGGGUAUGGCUGUUCGCCAUUUAAAGAGGUACGUGAGCUGGGUUUAAAACGUCGUGAGACAGUUUGGUCCCUAUCUUCCGUGGGCGCUGCAGAUUUGAGGAAGCCUGCUCCUAGUACGAGAGGACCGGAGUGGACACACCUCUGGUGUAUCGGUUGUCACGCCAGUGGCAUUGCCGAGUAGCUAAGUGUGGAAGAGAUAACCGCUGAAAGCAUCUAAGCGGGAAACUCGUUUCAAGAUGAGAUCUGCCGGGGCCUUGAGCCCCCUAAAGAGUCGUUCAAGACCAGGACGUUGAUAGGUCAGGUGUGGAAGC
RNAcentral lists this ribosomal RNA (1227 nucleotides) under metagenome. RNAcentral describes it as "bacterial LSU rRNA". It matches the Rfam family "Bacterial large subunit ribosomal RNA", at positions 1654 to 2874 of the family's 2925-position model. The record is from RNAcentral.